This 405-nucleotide ribosomal RNA is filed under the name uncultured bacterium. RNAcentral's name for it is "bacterial SSU rRNA". It matches the Rfam family "Bacterial small subunit ribosomal RNA", at positions 355 to 776 of the family's 1533-position model. The record is from RNAcentral.
UGGGGAAUAUUGCACAAUGGGGGAAACCCUGAUGCAGCGACGCCGCGUGAGUGAAGAAGUAUUUCGGUAUGUAAAGCUCUGUCAGCAGGAGAGAAGCAAGACGGUACCUGACCAAGAAGCCCCGGCUAACUACGUGCCAGCAGCCGCGGUAAUACGUAGGGGGCAAGCGUUAUCCGGAUUUACUGGGUGUAAAGGGAGCGUAGACGGCGAAGCAAGUCUGGAGUGAAAGCCCGCGGCCCAACUGCGGGACUGCUCUGGAAACUGUUUCGCUUGAGUACAGGAGGGGUAAGCGGAAUUCCUGGUGUAGCGGUGAAAUGCGUAGAUAUCAGGAGGAACACCGGUGGCGAAGGCGGCUUACUGGACUGUAACUGACGUUGAGGCUCGAAAGCGUGGGGAGCAAACAGG